ACACCGGCAGCUCAAGUGGUAGCCGCUUUUAUUGGGCCUAAAGCGUCCGUAGCCGGUCUGAUAAGUCUCUGGUGAAAUCCCACAGCUUAACUGUGGGAAUUGCUGGAGAUACUAUCAGGCUUGAGGUCGGGAGAGGUUAGAGGUACUCCCAGGGUAGGGGUGAAAUCCUAUAAUCCUGGGAGGACCACCUGUGGCGAAGGCGUCUAACUGGAACGAACCUGACGGUGAGUAACGAAAGCCAGGGGCGCGAACCGGAUUAGAUGCCCGGGUAGUCCUGGCCGUAAACGAUGUGGACUUGGUGUUGGGAUGGCCUCGAGCUGCCCCAGUGCCGAAGGGAAGCUGUUAAGUCCACCGCCUGGGAAGUACGGUCGCAAGACUGAAACUUAAAUGAAUUGGCGGGG
This 401-nucleotide ribosomal RNA is filed under the name uncultured bacterium. RNAcentral's name for it is "partial 16S ribosomal RNA". It matches the Rfam family "Archaeal small subunit ribosomal RNA", at positions 473 to 873 of the family's 1478-position model. The record is from RNAcentral.